GCAGAGGCGGGAGAGAAGAAGGUGGGCGGAGCUUCUGUUCCAAAAUUUUACCCCCAAGUGCGUUUCACAGUGUGCAGGCGGGUGGGGAGUGAGGGGCCACGGUCAACGACCAGGGAACCCUUUGGCGAAGCCAGAGAUGUAGUAUAAACGUGAAUGGAUGUCCAGGCUGCGCCGUUUCGCCGGCCGCUGGGCAGAGGUACUAGGGAGGCGCCUGCAGGAGCUCUGGCGAGGAUGCACCUUCCCCUGCCUUGGAAAGCAGACAGGAAGGCGGUGGAGAGAUGGAACAGUGUUCUCAUUCUGAGAUUGUAUCUCUAACAGAAGACGAGAACAAAGCAAAAGGUGUGUCAUUCUUGGAUGGGAAUGCUCAGCAUGAUAAAGAUGGCAAGUAAAUCUACACCUUUAACAUGAAAUUUAUACCUUUACACUAACUUCUGAUAAGUUCUGAUUGUCCUAUUUUAUUCCAUUGCUCUAUCAGUUUCAGCACUCAGGACCAAAUUAUUUUAAUUACUAUAAAUUUAGAGUAUGUUUUAAUUGCUGGUAACACUAACCCUGCACACCCUGACUGGUCCCUUUUUCACAAUUUUUCUGGCUUCUUUUGCUCACCUUUCUUCCUCAUAUGAAUUUAAAAUGAAUUUGUCUAGAUGCAAAUAUAAUUUCUAUUGGCAUUAAACAAAUAAAGUGAAACCUUCAUCUCACAUCUUUUUUUGCAUGUUCUUGAUAAAUGUUUAUUUAUUGUAGAAUUCUAGGAGUGGGGUCUUCUGGGGGAAUGUAGACGAAAACAGAAGUUUUUUUUUGUUCAGAGAGGUUUUGUCUCUCGUGGGAUUGUGUAAGCAUUAAGAUAGUUUCAAAAACUUGGGCCUUAGGCAAACAUGAGCUCUCCUGCUAGUUCUCAUCUGCAGGCCCUGGCAACAGAAAGCUGCUAGAAGCCAGGACAAGUGAGAAUACAGAGUGAAUAAAGCCAGCCUCUUGGAAACCCAGCCCCUCAGUCCAUUUGGGCCUCUAAAAUGCCUCCCAUUUCUGGGUUGCCUCCUGGGAUUGAAAUGUUUUACGGUUACAACACAAGAUGCUCUUCCACUAUUGUACUUGACCAAACUACUUUUCUCAAAGUGACAUGAGCUCUUAAAGUUUAUGUUCUCUGGUUCCUAUUGUAGUAAUAACAGAAAAAAAGGGA
Phyllostomus discolor (pale spear-nosed bat) is the source of this 1171-nucleotide long non-coding RNA. RefSeq lists it as uncharacterized. The transcript is spliced from 2 exons. Lineage: Eukaryota; Metazoa; Chordata; Mammalia; Chiroptera; Phyllostomidae. The record is from RefSeq and is a predicted model, not a curated record.